Molecule: ribosomal RNA, 25 nt
Filed under: Kalymmatonema arcangelii M09
Lineage: Bacteria; Bacillati; Cyanobacteriota; Cyanophyceae; Nostocales; Scytonemataceae
Also listed under: 5 other names
Description: partial 23S ribosomal RNA
Source: RNAcentral
GGUCAAGCGAAUAAGGGCUAAUGGU